Molecule: non-coding RNA, 549 nt
Organism: Erythranthe guttata (spotted monkey flower)
Lineage: Eukaryota; Viridiplantae; Streptophyta; Magnoliopsida; Lamiales; Phrymaceae
Source: RefSeq, a predicted model, not a curated record
UGGAAUUCAUCUUCUCGCUCCCGGAAUAUUAUCAGCGACGAAACUCCACUUCUCAAUUUGAUAAGUUUGAAAGGAAUUGAAACGAGCGAUCUUAAAGUUCUGAAAGAAAAGCUUGAACAAGAGGCCGCUAAACUUCUCGGUCAGACAAUAUUCUUCACAUUGGUUAAAAUGGCUAAGGAAAUGCUUUCCGAGAAAGUAUCUAAUGUAGCUGGAGACGAGGGUGCUGAGGAAGAUCAGACCGCAAUAGACAAGAAAAGUGCAGCAACGAGCUCUGAUGAUAGUGAUUCCGAUGAUGAUGACAUCUCUGGAGUUAACAAUUUACUCAGGCUCGACAGGCUCAGGGAACUUGUCCUUGAAGCAUACGCUGAUAUGCCUGUUUGAUCAAGUUGAGACGAAGCAAUGUAAACUUUGUCUAUCUGUAUGCGCAUUGUAUGAAAUCAGAUGAGCCUUAUACCUUCUUGUAUUGUUUGUGUAUUUGACAAGAAUCUCCUUAAAAUGCUGAACAUUGUCAAAUAUUUGCUACCACCAAUAUUUUCAGCAUCAACCAAA